This 489-nucleotide ribosomal RNA is filed under the name uncultured Rhodoferax sp. RNAcentral's name for it is "bacterial SSU rRNA". It matches the Rfam family "Bacterial small subunit ribosomal RNA", at positions 8 to 491 of the family's 1533-position model. The record is from RNAcentral. Lineage: Bacteria; Pseudomonadati; Pseudomonadota; Betaproteobacteria; Burkholderiales; Comamonadaceae.
AGAGUUUGAUCCUGGCUCAGAUUGAACGCUGGCGGCAUGCCUUACACAUGCAAGUCGAACGGCAGCACGGGAGCAAUCCUGGUGGCGAGUGGCGAACGGGUGAGUAAUAUAUCGGAACGUGCCCAGUCGUGGGGGAUAACGUAGCGAAAGCUACGCUAAUACCGCAUACGAUCUACGGAUGAAAGCGGGGGACUCGUAAGGGCCUCGCGCGAUUGGAGCGGCCGAUAUCAGAUUAGGUUGUUGGUGAGGUAAAAGCUCACCAAGCCUGCGAUCUGUAGCUGGUCUGAGAGGACGACCAGCCACACUGGAACUGAGACACGGUCCAGACUCCUACGGGAGGCAGCAGUGGGGAAUUUUGGACAAUGGACGCAAGUCUGAUCCAGCAAUGCCGCGUGCAGGACGAAGGCCUUCGGGUUGUAAACUGCUUUUGUACGGAACGAAACGGUCUGCUUUAAUACAGUGGGCUAAUGACGGUACCGUAAGAAUAGC